RNAcentral lists this long non-coding RNA (3020 nucleotides) under Sus scrofa (pig). Its description in RNAcentral is "lncRNA (ENSSSCG00025029084.1)". Lineage: Eukaryota; Metazoa; Chordata; Mammalia; Artiodactyla; Suidae. The record is from RNAcentral.
UUUUUUUUUUUUUUUUGUCUUUUUGCCAUUUCGUGGGCCGCUCCCGCCGCAUAUGGAGGUUCCCAGGCUAGGGGUCGAAUCCGAGCUGUAGACGCCAGCCUACGCCAGAGCCACAGCAACGCAGGAUCCGAGCCGCGUCUGCAAUCUACACCACAGCUCACGGCAACGCCGGAUCAUUAACCCACUGAGCAAGGCCAGCGAUCGAACCUGCAACCUCAUGGGUCCUAGUCGGAUUUGUUAACCACUGAGCCACAACGGAAACUCCUGAAUUGAUUUUGAUUAAUGAAUCUUGUGAAAAAGAGCAAAGCAAAUAAUCAUAAGACAAAGUAGUAUUUAAAUGAGUCAAUAUAUACUUAUUCAUAUUAAAAAUAAAUCAUCCUUCCUAUAAGAUACAAAAGUUUAAAUAGAAGCAACAACAAUCCAUGUAAACUGUUUGAAAUUUACAAAUGUUUGGUCUCGGAGUGUCCACUACAAUAAGCAAAGUAUUACAUUGUUUUGGUUGAAGUUCAUUCAUAUUCAUAAAAUAUGGUUUUAUGAAACCUGAGAUUAUACUGAAAUAGUCUAUUCAACUCAUCAUAGUCAUUAAGAAAACAUAUUAUACUUAGUUACAUAUUAUAGGAAACAACAAUAACUAUCUGUAUGAAAUUUAUAAUUUUAUAAGACCAGGAACAUAAUUAUAAUCAUUUUCUAUUAAAGGCACAGGUCAAUAAUUCAAAGAACACUUUUCCAUAUCCAGUAAUACUACAAUAGCAGUAAUUUGCUUUGGUCAUUAAUUGACUCUGACCUGGGGUUGUUAAUCUUUCAUUUACCUUCCACUCCUAUUUACAUAAACGUGUUUUUUUAAAUAUAUGAGAGAUCACUUUCAAGCAUUUAAUUAGAACACUCACGAAUGUUACUUCUCAAGCGCCAUUCCACAUUUGCAGGUAUGUAAUCACUUCUUAAGCUACUUUAUUAUUAAACUGAAAUGACCUUGGAAUGGUCUGCUGAGGCUCUAAAGAAACUUAAGAGAAAGUAAUAUCAUAGGAUGAUGUCUUUGAUUUAAGAAUAUGUGAGAAAGGAAAGCAUAGCUUGAAUUUAUUAUUAUUAUAACUAUAGUAACAUCUUUGGCAUGGGAAAUACCUAAAAAUACAUAAGAACUGCUUCAGUUGUGCUGUUUUAAAACUGUAGAAUUCCCAUUUUCUUCAUUCUGCUUUUCAACAUUUCCAGUUUUUCUUACUUAGUGUUUAUCACUUUACAUAUUUACUCCCUUUCUUGAAAAAGCAAAAGUAUAUUAUAUAUUAUGGAUAUAUCCUAUUAUAGAAACAUGUCAUUUGUAUUAUAUAUAUUAUAUAAUCAGUUUAUUUAUAUUUAUAUAUUUAUAUAUUUAUCUAUUUUGCUUUCUUAAGGCCACACCUGUAGCAUAUGGAAGUUAUCAGGCUAGGGAUUGAAUUGUAGCUGCAGCUGCAGGCCUACACCACAGCCACAGCAACACAGUAUCCAAGCCUUAUCUGUGAUCCCACCACAGCUCAGAGCAACACCUAAUUCUUAACCCACUGAGCGAGGCCAGGGAUCAAACCCACAUCCUCAUGGAUACUAGUUGGGUUUGUAACCCAUUGAGCCACAAUGGGAACUCCAAUGUAUUUUAAAAUGUAAAGCAGUGUUAAUGUGUUUUAGUUUUACUGGUUUCUGGAUUUGAUCAAUUUUCCACCUUCAGAAAAGCUCACUUAAAGUAACAGUUGAAGCAGUUAGUUUUAAACAUCUCCUUUAACUAGAAGAACAACAAAAUGUUUCAUAGUAUUCAACAAAUAAGGAUUUAAAUACCCCAAACAUUAAAAAAUAAAAAUUGUCUAAAUUUGUUCUUGAAACCAAGGGUCAAAGUGACUAAAAAAAAGGACAUCAACAUUUCUACAAAAUCAUCAGACCUUGAGAGAGAUGGCCCACUUUGCCAUAGAAACAGUUAAAGAAUAAAGAAGCAAUCACAGCAGCAUUAUGAAGAGUCAGUUAUGUGUUUUAAAACUAUGGUGGGAUAAUGCUAAUUCAAUAUGAAAAUCUUCCCAAUUAGCCGUUUCAGUAAAAUAGCAAAUUAACCAAUCUCUUAUUAUAGAAAGUGCCAUUUUCACAAUUUAAUAAAACACAAAUCUAUUAUGGCAAAUAAGGUUAAAGUGGAAAAAUGCCAUAGAAAUUUUAAAAAUGAGACUUUGUAAUGUGCUAAUGAGCCCUCUUAAAAAAGUAGGUCAUUUUGGCUCUGUUGUACCAUUGUUAUGAAACUAGUCUAGGAAGAAAUAUAGAGUAAUAACAUCUAAAACACAGAAACAAACACUAAUUUGUGAAUUCAUUUAGACUAAUAAGCCUCUUUGUGUAUUCUCAUACAAUAUUCCUUUCAAUAAAAAAAGUUGCUCACAGCCUAGGACUUAGAGGGAGAGAGAAUGGAAAGUGUCCCAUCUCUUAUGUAUCAAGGUGAUUACACAGCAAGCAUCCUCAUCCUUCUCCCAUGUCCCCAGCUAUCUUGCUACCUCAUCAUCUGUAGACUAUGAGCUCUGAAUAAAUUUGUUUUAUGUGCCCAUAAAGGCAAAACAUGUUUAGGGCACUAGCGAUGAAGGGGUUAACAACAACAACAAAACAGGAGGUAAGUUUCAGAUUUGACUAACCUAUCAAAGUUUUUGUGCUCUAAAAUAAAGCUCUUUUGAUGUUCUGCCACAGAUUUUGUGCUUCAUAGUUUAAUGUUUGUUGCAUGUUGGAAGAAAGAGGAUUAGUAUAACUGGAAUCUAAUACCCAGCACAAAUGAACAUCUUCUCAGAAAAGAAAAUCAUGGACUUGGAGAAAAGACUUGUGGCUGCCUGAUGGGAGGGGGAGGGAGUGGGAGGGAUCAGGAGCUUGGGCUUAUCAGACACAACUUAGAAUAGAUUUACAAGGAGAUCCUGCUGAAUAGCAUUGAGAACUUUGUCUAGAUACUCAUGUUGCAACAGAACAAAGGGUGGGGAAAAAAAUGUAAUUGUAAUGUAUACAUGUAAGGAUAACUUGAUCCCCUUGCUGUACAGUGG